Molecule: ribosomal RNA, 557 nt
Filed under: uncultured bacterium
Lineage: Bacteria
Description: bacterial SSU rRNA
Rfam family: Bacterial small subunit ribosomal RNA
Source: RNAcentral
ACGGGUGAGUAACGCGUGGGAAUCUACCGUGCCCUGCGGAAUAGCUCCGGGAAACUGGAAUUAAUACCGCAUACGCCCUACGGGGGAAAGAUUUAUCGGGGUAUGGUGAGCCCGCGUUGGAUUAGCUAGUUGGUGGGGUAAAGGCCUACCAAGGCGACGAUCCAUAGCUGGUCUGAGAGGAUGAUCAGCCACAUUGGGACUGAGACACGGCCCAAACUCCUACGGGAGGCAGCAGUGGGGAAUAUUGGACAAUGGGCGCAAGCCUGAUCCAGCCAUGCCGCGUGAGUGAUGAAGGCCUUAGGGUUGUAAAGCUCUUUCACCGGAGAAGAUAAUGACGGUAUCCGGAGAAGAAGCCCCGGCUAACUUCGUGCCAGCAGCCGCGGUAAUACGAAGGGGGCUAGCGUUGUUCGGAAUUACUGGGCGUAAAGCGCACGUAGGCGGAUAUUUAAGUCAGGGGUGAAAUCCCAGAGCUCAACUCUGGAACUGCCUUUGAUACUGGGUAUCGUGAGUAUGGAAGAGGUAAGUGGGAUUCCGAGUGUAGAGGUGAAAUUCGUAGA